This 76-nucleotide transfer RNA is filed under the name Enterococcus cecorum. RNAcentral's name for it is "tRNA-Arg". It matches the Rfam family "tRNA". From Rfam's summary of the family: Transfer RNA (tRNA) molecules are approximately 80 nucleotides in length. Their secondary structure includes four short double-helical elements and three loops (D, anti-codon, and T loops). Further hydrogen bonds mediate the characteristic L-shaped molecular structure. tRNAs have two regions of fundamental functional importance: the anti-codon, which is responsible for specific mRNA codon recognition, and the 3' end, to which the tRNAs corresponding amino acid is attached (by aminoacyl-tRNA synthetases). tRNAs cope with the degeneracy of the genetic code in two manners: having more than one tRNA (with a specific anti-codon) for a particular amino acid; and 'wobble' base-pairing, i.e. permitting non-standard base-pairing at the 3rd anti-codon position. The record is from RNAcentral. Lineage: Bacteria; Bacillati; Bacillota; Bacilli; Lactobacillales; Enterococcaceae.
UGCUUGCAUAGCUCAGAUGGAUAGAGCAUUCGUCUUCUAAGCGAACGGUCGCAAGUUCGAAUCUUGCUGCAAGUGU